GAUUGAUUGUUAGCUACUUUUUAUUUUGUAGACAGAAGAUCUGCAUAUCCUGAAGAUUAGGCCAUAGAAGCAGACAAGCUCUAAACCUCGUCCUUCUCUCUAAGAAGGGUUUGUGUUUUUCAGGCUGAAGCCAAGUUGACUUAACCCAGAACCAUCUGCUUACUGUAGGAAGGCGUCUUCUUCACCACCGCUGUCCUCUGUCAACUCGUUCUGAGACUCAGCAGCAACAUCUGUGUUUUGCUUUGCAUUCUUUAUCCCUGCUCCUCUGCAAGAUGGGAAUAAUUAUUUUCCUCCAAGGAAACAGGUUCAAAAGAGAUUUGAAGAAAGCGCUGCUUAUGGGCUAAAGAAGAUGGAAUGUCAAGUGGAAAAAAAAUAUACACUUCCGACGUAUUCUUCUGUUUGAAUUUAACAGAAGAGUAAAGACAGUGGAGAUGGCUCGAAACAUUUUUGCCGUGUACGGAGAGAAUGCCAUCAGGUAAAGCAUGGAAGAAAAUGGUAUUGUCAUUUCAAAGAGGGCCACUUUGACCUGUGUGAUUCUCCACGUUUAGGAAGACCAUCAGACUUUGAUGAAGACCGUUUAAAUGCUUUAAUCCACAAUGAUCUGUGUCAUUCAACCUAAGAAUGGGCAAAUGUGAUAAACUGUGACCAGUGAACCAUCAUGCGACAUUUAUAUUCCAUGGGCAAAUGAAAAAACCGCUGUGAACGUAUGCAUUAACCCAAUAUUUACCACUUCUGUCCAUGCCUCUUUUUUAAAUGGUGCAUUGUAUAAUUAUUUCAUUAUAUAUUACAAUGUAAUACUAACAAAGUUAUAAUAAAAGUGAUGCACUUGAA
Molecule: long non-coding RNA, 831 nt
Organism: Carlito syrichta (Philippine tarsier)
Lineage: Eukaryota; Metazoa; Chordata; Mammalia; Primates; Tarsiidae
Exons: 2
Source: RefSeq, a predicted model, not a curated record